CAGCAGCCGCGGUAAUACGUAGGUCCCGAGCGUUGUCCGGAUUUAUUGGGCGUAAAGCGAGCGCAGGCGGUUAGAUAAGUCUGAAGUUAAAGGCUGUGGCUUAACCAUAGUACGCUUUGGAAACUGUUUAACUUGAGUGCAAGAGGGGAGAGUGGAAUUCCAUGUGUAGCGGUGAGAUGCGUAGAUAUAUGGAGGAACACCGGUGGCGAAAGCGGCUCUCUGGCUUGUAUCUGACGCUGAGGCUCGAAAGCGUGGGGCGCAAACAGGAUUAGAUACCCGAGUAGUCCCUGUCUCUUAUACC
This 301-nucleotide ribosomal RNA is filed under the name uncultured bacterium. Its description in RNAcentral is "partial 16S ribosomal RNA". It matches the Rfam family "Bacterial small subunit ribosomal RNA", at positions 509 to 808 of the family's 1533-position model. The record is from RNAcentral.